CAGUGAUGUCACAAGAGGUGACUGGGAGGAAGGUUCUGGAAGGCUGAAUGGGAUAGAAGGGCUGUUGGGAAGGGAAACUGCCUGCCUUCCUGCCUCUCAUCACCACCACCAUCCUGACGGUGACGAGGGCUGGGAAGGGGCAGCCCAUGUUCAGGUUUCCAGGAGAAGCAACUUGUUUAUCAUCUCUGUGGAAGAAGAAAACACCCUGAAUGCCUAGAUGACUCUGCAACCCAUGCUUUGCUGUGAUGGCCAGAACCAUACCUGGUGAAAAGUGGAAGCAUGGUGAAGAAUGGUCUCUGUAGACCCAGAAGGCCUGAAACCCAGACAACUCAAGAAGAGAAGGACGAGGACCUCAAAGUAGACAUGAGCCAAGAACAAGGUACUUUGUGCAAGAGAGAGAAAGUUACUCCUAGGCUGUGGACCAUUCACCGAGAUGGAGAAGUCCUUAUGAGGCUAUCGAAACAUGGGCCAGGCCAUGAGAGCCCCUUGACCAUCCCUGAAUUUUUUCGGGAGUCGGUCAACCGAUUUGGGUCUUAUCCAGCCCUAGCAUCAAAGAAGAAUGGAAGGUGGGAAGUUCUGAACUACAACCAGUACUAUGAGGCUUGUCGGAAGACUGCGAGAGCCAUGCUCAAGCUGGGGCUGGAGCCUUUCCACUCAGUUGGCAUCCUUGGGUUUAACUCCAUCGAGUGGAUCCUUGCAGCUCUUGGUGCCAUCUUUGCGGGGGGCUUCUGUGUUGGUAUUUAUGCCACCAACUUCGCGGACGCCUGUGAAUAUGUCAUUACUCAUGCCAAAGUGAACAUCCUGCUGGUGGAAAAUAAUGCACAGUUGCAGAAAAUUCUUUCGAUUCCGACGAACAAGAUGGAGACCCUAAAAGCGAUCGUUCAGUACAAGCCGCCCGUGGACGACAGCAAAUGUGAAAACCUGUACUCUUGGGAUGACUUCCUAGAACUUGGCAGUAGCAUUCCCGAUGCCCAACUGGACCAGAUCAUAAAAAGCCAGAAGGCCAAUCAGUGUGCUGUGAUCAUCUACACUUCAGGGACCACAGGCCAACCCAAGGGGGUGAUGCUCAGCCAUGACAAUAUCACGUGGACAGCGGGGUCGGUGGCGAAGGAAUGCAACCUGGCUUAUGCCCCCGAAAAGCAGGAGGUGGUGGUCAGCUACCUUCCUCUCAGCCACAUCGCAGCUCAGAUGAUGGACGUCUGGGUGCCCAUUAAGGUCGGGGCUUUCAUCUACUUUGCUGAACCAGACGCUCUCAAGGGCACCUUGGUCAACACCUUGCAAGAGGUAAAGCCUACUGCCUUCCUGGGGGUACCCCGAAUUUGGGAAAAGAUGCAUGAGAAGAUAAAGGAGGCUGUUGGCAAGUCUUCAAGCUUGAGGAAAAAGGUGUUUCUGUGGGCAAGGAAUAUUGGCUUAAAGGUCAACUCGAAAAGGAUGCUAGGGGAACAUGACCAUCCCAUGAGCUACCGCAUGGCAAGGGCACUCGUGUUCACCAAAAUCAAGAAUUCCCUUGGCCUGGAUCACUGCCGCAUUUUUAUCAGCGGGGCCGCACCCCUCAACCAGGAGACUUCUGAGUUCUUUUUAAGCCUGGACAUACCAAUAGGCGAGGUGUACGGUAUGAGUGAAAGCUCAGGACCCCACACCAUAUCCACCCCAGCAAACUACAAGUUACUAAGUUCUGGUAAAGUUGUGGCAGGGUGUAAGAACAUGCUGUACCAGCCGAGCAAGGAUGGCGUGGGGGAAGUCUGCCUCUGGGGCCGGCAUGUCUUCAUGGGCUACCUGGAGCAGGAGGACGCGACCAUGGAGGCCAUUGACGAGGAGGGCUGGCUCCACUCUGGGGACCUGGGCCGCAUGGACAACCAGGGCUUCCUCUUUAUCACCGGCCGCAUCAAAGAAAUCAUCAUCACAGCUGGUGGCGAGAAUGUGGCUCCCGUUCCCAUCGAGAACCUGGUUAAGGAGACGAUCCCCAUCAUUAGUAAUGCCAUGUUGGUGGGCGACAAGGCCAAGUUCCUGAGCAUCCUCCUGACACUGAAGUGCGAGGUUGACAAAAUGACCGGAGAGCCACUGGACACGCUGAACUGGGAGGCGAUCAAGUUCUGCCGGGAGGUGGGCAGCCAUGCGACCACAGUGUCUGAGAUCCUGGACCUGCGAGACCCCAUGGUCUACGCGGCCAUCCAGAAAGGCAUCAAUGCUGUCAACCAAAAAGCCAUCUCCAACGCACAGAAGAUUCAGAAGUGGGUCAUCUUGGAGAAGGACUUUACCAUCAGUGGCGGAGAGCUAGGUCCAACGACAAAGAUUAAACGACAUUUCAUCCUCCAGAAAUACAAAAGGCAGAUCUACAGCUUCUACCAGUGACGACUUUGGCGGAGCGGGUCCUGGCUGCCCUGAUGCCUGCAAGAGGAAGACCCUAUCACAGGGACUUGAGUCUCUUGUGUUACUAAGAAGCCACAUUCCCUGUGCAUCAGUCUCUGUCAUCCGCCUGUGGAAGAGGUAAACACUCAUGGACCAGCCAUACCUCUUGAAGCGACAAGAGGACUGGCAGAGACACCAGAGAAGAGAAGCCCGGAUUGAAGAAGAAACCGGGCCCCUACCCUCAUCUUCCUGGAAGCAACUUAGAAACCCGUCCAAUGAGUUCUGACAAUAAAGCUCUCUGGCACCCUGUGUCCUGA
Molecule: RNA transcript, 2666 nt
Organism: Bubalus bubalis (water buffalo)
Lineage: Eukaryota; Metazoa; Chordata; Mammalia; Artiodactyla; Bovidae
Gene: ACSBG2
Gene name: acyl-CoA synthetase bubblegum family member 2
Exons: 16
Source: RefSeq, a predicted model, not a curated record